CCUACGGGAGGCAGCAGUGGGGAAUAUUGGACAAUGGGCCAAAGCCUGAUCCAGCCAUGCCGCGUGUGUGAAGAAGGCCUUCGGGUUGUAAAGCACUUUCAGUGGGGAAGAAAGCCUUGGGGCUAAUACCCUCGAGGAAGGACAUCACCCACAGAAGAAGCACCGGCUAACUCCGUGCCAGCAGCCGCGGUAAUACGGAGGGUGCGAGCGUUAAUCGGAAUUACUGGGCGUAAAGCGCGCGUAGGCGGUCUGAUAAGCCGGUUGUGAAAGCCCCGGGCUCAACCUGGGAACGGCAUCCGGAACUGUCAGGCUAGAGUGCAGGAGAGGAAGGUAGAAUUCCCGGUGUAGCGGUGAAAUGCGUAGAGAUCGGGAGGAAUACCAGUGGCGAAGGCGGCCUUCUGGACUGACACUGACGCUGAGGUGCGAAAGCGUGGGUAGCAAACAGGAUUAGAUACCCGUGUAGUC
This 465-nucleotide ribosomal RNA is filed under the name Vreelandella stevensii. RNAcentral's name for it is "partial 16S ribosomal RNA". It matches the Rfam family "Bacterial small subunit ribosomal RNA", at positions 338 to 795 of the family's 1533-position model. The record is from RNAcentral. Lineage: Bacteria; Pseudomonadati; Pseudomonadota; Gammaproteobacteria; Oceanospirillales; Halomonadaceae.